Molecule: transfer RNA, 63 nt
Filed under: bovine gut metagenome
Rfam family: tRNA
About the family: Transfer RNA (tRNA) molecules are approximately 80 nucleotides in length. Their secondary structure includes four short double-helical elements and three loops (D, anti-codon, and T loops).
Source: RNAcentral
CCUUAGUUCAAUGGUAGAACGCUAGCUUCCCAAGCUGGACACACGGGUUCGAUUCCCGCAGGG